RNAcentral lists this small nuclear RNA (115 nucleotides) under Theobroma cacao (cacao). RNAcentral describes it as "U2 spliceosomal RNA". It matches the Rfam family "U2 spliceosomal RNA". From Rfam's summary of the family: U2 is a small nuclear RNA (snRNA) component of the spliceosome (involved in pre-mRNA splicing). Complementary binding between U2 snRNA (in an area lying towards the 5' end but 3' to hairpin I) and the branchpoint sequence (BPS) of the intron results the bulging out of an unpaired adenosine, on the BPS, which initiates a nucleophilic attack at the intronic 5' splice site, thus starting the first of two transesterification reactions that mediate splicing. Lineage: Eukaryota; Viridiplantae; Streptophyta; Magnoliopsida; Malvales; Malvaceae. The record is from Rfam by way of RNAcentral.
AUACGUUUUUCAGUCUUUUGGCUAAGAUCAAGUGUAGUAUAUGGUUUUACCACUUUAAUGUCUGAUACGUGGAUAUUGAUCCAUAUGAUAUUAAAUUAAUUUGCAUCCACCAAUA